GUCGAGAAUUUUUCUCAAUGGGGGAAACCCUGAAGGAGCGACGCCGCGUGGGGGAUGAAUGGCUUCGGCCCGUAAACCCCUGUCAUUUGCGAUCAAACCUUACGACUUAACACGUCGUAAGCUGAUAGUAGCGAAAGAGGAAGGGACGGCUAACUCUGUGCCAGCAGCCGCGGUAAUACAGAGGUCCCAAGCGUUGUUCGGAUUCACUGGGCGUAAAGGGUGCGUAGGCGGUCGGGUAAGUCUGACGUGAAAUCUUCAAGCUCAACUUGGAAACUGCGUCCGAUACUAUUCGGCUAGAGGAAUGGAGGGGAGACUGGAAUACUUGGUGUAGCAGUGAAAUGCGUAGAUAUCAAGUGGAACACCAGUGGCGAAGGCGAGUCUCUGGACAUUUCCUGACGCUGAGGCACGAAAGCCAGGGGAGCAAACGGGAUUAGAAACCCGUGUAGUCC
This 449-nucleotide ribosomal RNA is filed under the name uncultured bacterium. RNAcentral describes it as "bacterial SSU rRNA". It matches the Rfam family "Bacterial small subunit ribosomal RNA", at positions 354 to 796 of the family's 1533-position model. The record is from RNAcentral.